CGACGCUCGCCGGACGCACAUUUCUGCACCUCGCCUGACUCGGCCGCUCAACUACUGGUAUGAUUAAUGCCGUUGAUUCUAUUUUUCGUGAAAAUUUGUUCGGCUGUAGUACCCGUGCUUGAACUGUUUAAGGCUCGUAUACACUAGUGUACCCGUGUUUGUCUGUAGUACCUGAGCCUCAAACAAAUUAUUUCUAAUAUCCUUAUGUUGAAUAGCUUCAGAAAGUUGGAGUAUCGCCUGCUUGAGUCUGUAUAUGAGUAUAAACUAGAUCAUAUAGACCACUGAAUCACACGGAUCUUCUAAGUAGUAUACUUAAAGCCCCAUUGCUAAAUCUGGCUAGUUACGCCUGAGAUAACUGAAUCCAAAAUUUUGGCCUGCGAUAUUGCUUCACUGUAUCUGGAAGCACUCUAGUUUUUCUUGCCACCUUGACAAACUUGCAAAGAGCGGUGUCAUCGGUCUUUUGAUGCAAGAUAGUUUUCAGGGGAUAUGCAAUUUAAUAUUACUAAGAAUGAAACUUAGAGUAUUCAGGAAUGUUUAUUCAUCUAUAUGAUUAAAGCAUAUAAGGAUCUUGAUCAUUCAACAAGCCUUUUUCCAAUACAUGAGCAGUGGAGUUAUAAUAAAAUCAUGAGAUAUAAAUGCAGAACCAUAGCAAUAACUCUUGGAUUAAGUCCUUCAUUUGUGGACACAGUUCUUCAUCCCUUACUAUGCCUAUCUUUUUGAAACCUUAGCAAUAACUCACAACUAUUCCUAUUUUUGUCGACAAACUUCGUGACCAAAUUUUAAGUCUCAUCGAUCUUGUGAGCUUCAACACCCUUUUGAUCCAAAAACUUCAGCUGCUUGGAGUUCUUGGCAAGCAGGAGGCGCAUUUUCUCUUCAGACUGGAAGGAAUAUUAUAGUAUAGAAGCUUCCACGGGUGUGCACAUUGCCCUGUUGGCUGUAUCCAUUUUCAGCUGAAGGAUAGGACUCAGGCAUAUGGCCGUGUGUUGCUACUGCAGCGGUCUACUCUGCUGCUAUCCCGGAGUACACUACUGCUGAGGUCCUGGAGCUGGCUAGGAACGCCAGUAAGGAUCUGAAGGUGGAGCGUAUCACCCCUCGCCAUCUUCAGCUGGCCAUCCGUGGAGAUGAAGAGCUGGAUACCCUCAUCAAGGGUACAAUUGCUGGUGGAGGUGUGAUCCCGCACAUCCACAGGUCCCUGAUCAAAGUAAUCCAUCCAGUUGUCUUGAAGUAACACAAUCUAGCAAAGGGAGUAUCUUUAGCUUAAACAGGACAUUUCACACCUGUAGUCUUGUGUGAGAUAAGCUACAUCUAUUAGCCUAUAGCUAUGCUUCCCGAUCGAAGUAAUCCGUCCUUGUAAUGCUUACCUGGCACUGCUUCAAUUAUUUGGAACAUUGUAUUCGUGUAUUCUUGUUCGUUUGUUCACUUCGUGAUAGACCCUGAAUGCAAAACCUUUUUUACA
Molecule: long non-coding RNA, 1456 nt
Organism: Lolium rigidum
Lineage: Eukaryota; Viridiplantae; Streptophyta; Magnoliopsida; Poales; Poaceae
Exons: 2
Source: RefSeq, a predicted model, not a curated record